AACGAACGCUGGCGGCAUGCCUAACACAUGCAAGUCGAACGAGACCUCCGGGUGUAGUGGCGCACGGGUGCGUAACGCGUGGGAACCUGACCUUAGGGUCGGACUAACUCCCCGAAAGGGGUGCUAAUACCGGAUAAUGUCUUCGGACCGAUGAUUUAUUGCCUUUGGAUGUGCCCGCGUUGCAUUAGCUAGUUGGUAAGGUAAAAGACUACUAAGGCAACGAUGCAUAGCUGACCUGAGAGGGUGAUCAGCCAAACUGGGACUGAGACACGGUCCAGACUGCUACGGGAGGCAGCAGUAGGGAAUCUUCCGCAAUGGGCGAAAGCCUGACGGAGCAACGCCGCGUGAGUGAUGAAGGUCUUCGGAGCGUAAAACUCUGCUAUUAGGGAAGAACAUAUGUGUAAGUAACUGUGCACAUCUUGACGGUACCUAAUCAGAAAGCCACGGCUAACUACGUG
RNAcentral lists this ribosomal RNA (458 nucleotides) under uncultured bacterium. RNAcentral describes it as "partial 16S ribosomal RNA". It matches the Rfam family "Bacterial small subunit ribosomal RNA", at positions 29 to 507 of the family's 1533-position model. The record is from RNAcentral.